RNAcentral lists this ribosomal RNA (253 nucleotides) under uncultured bacterium. RNAcentral describes it as "partial 16S ribosomal RNA". It matches the Rfam family "Bacterial small subunit ribosomal RNA", at positions 524 to 776 of the family's 1533-position model. The record is from RNAcentral.
GACGGGGGAUGCAAGCGUUAUCCGGAAUCACUGGGCGUAAAGCGUCUGCAGGUGGUUUCCUAAGUCCACUGUUAAACCUUGAGGCUCAACCUCAAAUCUGCAUUGGAAACUAGAAGACUUGAGUAUAGUAGGGGUAGAGGGAAUUUCCAGUGGAGCGGUGAAAUGCGUAGAUAUUGGAAAGAACACCGAUGGCGAAGGCACUCUACUGGGCUAUUACUGACACUCAGAGACGAAAGCUAGGGGAGCAAAUGGG